CCUACGGGAGGCAGCAGUGGGGAAUAUUGGACAAUGGGGGAAACCCUGAUCCAGCGACGCCGCGUGAGUGAAGAAGUAUUUCGGUACGUAAAGCUCUAUCAGCAGGAAAGAAAAUGACGGUACCUGACUAAGAAGCCCCGGCUAACUACGUGCCCGCAGCCGCGGUAAUACGUAGGGGGCAAGCGUUAUCCGGAUUUACUGGGUGGAAAGGGAGCGUAGACGGCAGCGCAAGUCUGGAGUGAAAUGCCGGGGCCCAACCCCGGAACUGCUCUGGAAACUGUGAAGCUGGAGUGCAGGAGAGGUAAGCGGAAUUCCUGGUGUAGCGGUGAAAUGCGUAGAUAACAGGAGGAACACCGGCGGCGAAGGCGGCUUACUGGACUGUAACUGACGUUGAGGCUCGAAGGCGUGGGGAGCAAACAGGAUUAGAUACCCCUGUAGUC
RNAcentral lists this ribosomal RNA (440 nucleotides) under uncultured bacterium. RNAcentral describes it as "partial 16S ribosomal RNA". It matches the Rfam family "Bacterial small subunit ribosomal RNA", at positions 338 to 795 of the family's 1533-position model. The record is from RNAcentral.